Molecule: ribosomal RNA, 274 nt
Filed under: uncultured bacterium
Lineage: Bacteria
Description: partial 16S ribosomal RNA
Rfam family: Bacterial small subunit ribosomal RNA
Source: RNAcentral
AUACAGAGGGUGCAAGCGUUAAUCGGAAUUACUGGGCGUAAAGCGUACGUAGGCGGUUUGGUAAGUCAGAUGUGAAAGCCCUGAGCUCAACUUGGGAACUGCAUUUGAAACUGCCUGACUAGAGUGUGAUAGAGGAUAGUGGAAUUUCCGGUGUAGCGGUGAAAUGCGUAGAGAUCGGAAGGAACACCAGUGGCGAAGGCGGCUAUCUGGAUCAACACUGACGCUGAGGUACGAAAGCGUGGGGAGCAAACAGGAUUAGAAACCCCGGUAGUCC